AGUGAACGCUGGCGGUAGGCCUAACACAUGCAAGUCGAACAGCAGCACAGUAAGAGCUUGCUCUUACGGGUGGCGAGUGGCGGACGGGUGAGGAAUACAUCGGAAUCUACUUUUUCGUGGGGGAUAACGUAGGGAAACUUACGCUAAUACCGCAUACGACCUACGGGUGAAAGCAGGGGACCUUCGGACCUUGCGCGAUUGAAUGAGCCGAUGUCGGAUUAGCUAGUUGGCGGGGUAAAGGCCCACCAAGGCGACGAUCCGUAGCUGGUCUGAGAGGAUGAUCAGCCACACUGGAACUGAGACACGGUCCAGACUCCUACGGGAGGCAGCAGUGGGGAAUAUUGGACAAUGGGCGCAAGCCUGAUCCAGCCAUACCGCGUGGGUGAAGAAGGCCUUCGGGUUGUAAAGCCCUUUUGUUGGGAAAGAAAAGCAGCAGGUUAAUACCCCGCUGUUCUGACGGUACCCAAAGAAUAAGCACCGGCUAACUUCGUG
RNAcentral lists this ribosomal RNA (492 nucleotides) under uncultured bacterium. Its description in RNAcentral is "partial 16S ribosomal RNA". It matches the Rfam family "Bacterial small subunit ribosomal RNA", at positions 29 to 507 of the family's 1533-position model. The record is from RNAcentral.